CGGCGGACGGGUGAGUAACACGUGGAUAACCUACCUAUAAGACUGGGAUAACUUCGGGAAACCGGAGCUAAUACCGGAUAAUAUAUUGAACCGCAUGGUUCAAUAGUAGAAAGACGGUUUUGCUGUCACUUAUAGAUGGAUCCGCGCCGCAUUAGCUAGUUGGUAAGGUAACGGCUUACCAAGGCAACGAUGCGUAGCCGACCUGAGAGGGUGAUCGGCCACACUGGAACUGAGACACGGUCCAG
Molecule: ribosomal RNA, 245 nt
Filed under: uncultured Staphylococcus sp.
Lineage: Bacteria; Bacillati; Bacillota; Bacilli; Caryophanales; Staphylococcaceae
Description: partial 16S ribosomal RNA
Rfam family: Bacterial small subunit ribosomal RNA
Source: RNAcentral